GAUGAACGCUGGCGGCGUGCUUAACACAUGCAAGUCGAACGAUGAAGCCCAGCUUUCGGGGUGUAUUCGUGGCGAACGGGUGAGUAACACGCGAGUAACCUGCCCUUGACUCUGGGAUAAGCCUUUGAGACUGGGUCUAUUACUGGAUAUAACUUCUCAUCUCAUGGUGUGGGGUGGAAAGAUUUAUUGGUCUUGGAUGGACUCGCGGCCUAUCAGCUUGUUGGUGAGGGAAUGGCUCACCAAGGCGACGACGGGUAGACGGCCUGAGAGGGUGACCGGCCACACUGGGACUGAGACACGGCCCAGACUCCUACGGGAGGCAGCAGUGGGGAAUAUUGCACAAUGGGCGCAAGCCUGAUGCAGCGACGCCGCGUGCGGGAUGACGGCCUUCGGGUUGUAAACCUCUUUCAGUAGAGAAGAAGCGAGAGUGACGGUACCUGCAGAAGAAGCGCCGGCUAACUACGUG
Molecule: ribosomal RNA, 466 nt
Filed under: uncultured bacterium
Lineage: Bacteria
Description: partial 16S ribosomal RNA
Rfam family: Bacterial small subunit ribosomal RNA
Source: RNAcentral